RNAcentral lists this ribosomal RNA (1374 nucleotides) under uncultured bacterium. RNAcentral describes it as "bacterial SSU rRNA". It matches the Rfam family "Bacterial small subunit ribosomal RNA", at positions 28 to 1381 of the family's 1533-position model. The record is from RNAcentral.
GAUGAACGCUGGCGGCGUGCCUAAUACAUGCAAGUCGAGCGAACGGACGAGAAGCUUGCUUCUCUGAUGUUAGCGGCGGACGGGUGAGUAACACGUGGAUAACCUACCUAUAAGACUGGGAUAACUUCGGGAAACCGGAGCUAAUACCGGAUAAUAUUUUGAACCGCAUGGUUCAAAAGUGAAAGACGGUCUUGCUGUCACUUAUAGAUGGAUCCGCGCUGCAUUAGCUAGUUGGUAAGGUAACGGCUUACCAAGGCAACGAUGCAUAGCCGACCUGAGAGGGUGAUCGGCCACACUGGAACUGAGACACGGUCCAGACUCCUACGGGAGGCAGCAGUAGGGAAUCUUCCGCAAUGGGCGAAAGCCUGACGGAGCAACGCCGCGUGAGUGAUGAAGGUCUUCGGAUCGUAAAACUCUGUUAUUAGGGAAGAACAUAUGUGUAAGUAACUGUGCACAUCUUGACGGUACCUAAUCAGAAAGCCACGGCUAACUACGUGCCAGCAGCCGCGGUAAUACGUAGGUGGCAAGCGUUAUCCGGAAUUAUUGGGGCGUAAAGCGCGCGUAGGCGGUUUUUUAAGUCUGAUGUGAAAGCCCACGGCUUCAACCGUGGAGGGUCAUUGGAAACUGGAAAACUUGAGUGCAGAAGAGGAAAGUGGAAUUCCAUGUGUAGCGGUGAAAUGCGUAGAGAUAUGGAGGAACACCAGUGGCGAAGGCGACUUUCUGGUCUGUAACUGACGCUGAUGUGCGAAAGCGUGGGGAUCAAACAGGAUUAGAUACCCUGGUAGUCCACGCCGUAAACGAUGAGUGCUAAGUGUUAGGGGGUUUCCGCCCCUUAGUGCUGCAGCUAACGCAUUAAGCACUCCGCCUGGGGAGUACGACCGCAAGGUUGAAACUCAAAGGAAUUGACGGGGACCCGCACAAGCGGUGGAGCAUGUGGUUUAAUUCGAAGCAACGCGAAGAACCUUACCAAAUCUUGACAUCCUUUGACAACUCUAGAGAUAGAGCUUUCCCCUUCGGGGGACAAAGUGACAGGUGGUGCAUGGUUGUCGUCAGCUCGUGUCGUGAGAUGUUGGGUUAAGUCCCGCAACGAGCGCAACCCUUAAGCUUAGUUGCCAUCAUUAAGUUGGGCACUCUAAGUUGACUGCCGGUGACAAACCGGAGGAAGGUGGGGAUGACGUCAAAUCAUCAUGCCCCUUAUGAUUUGGGCUACACACGUGCUACAAUGGACAAUACAAAGGGCAGCGAAACCGCGAGGUCAAGCAAAUCCCAUAAAGUUGUUCUCAGUUCGGAUUGUAGUCUGCAACUCGACUACAUGAAGCUGGAAUCGCUAGUAAUCGUAGAUCAGCAUGCUACGGUGAAUACGUUCCCGGGUCU